UACGUAGGGGGCGAGCGUUGUCCGGAUUUAUUGGGCGUAAAGAGCUCGUAGGCGGUUUGGUAAGUCGGGUGUGAAAUCUCCACGCUCAACGUGGAGGGGCCACUCGAUACUGCCAUGACUCGAGUCCGGUAGAGGAGUGUGGAAUUCCCGGUGUAGCGGUGAAAUGCGUAGAUAUGCGGAGGAACACCGAUGGCGAAGGCAAUCCCCUGGGCCUGCACUGACGCUCAUGCACGAAAGCGUGGGGAGCAAACAGG
This 254-nucleotide ribosomal RNA is filed under the name uncultured bacterium. RNAcentral describes it as "partial 16S ribosomal RNA". It matches the Rfam family "Bacterial small subunit ribosomal RNA", at positions 524 to 776 of the family's 1533-position model. The record is from RNAcentral.